CCUACGGGAGGCAGCAGUGAGGAAUAUUGGUCAAUGGGCGCUAGCCUGAACCAGCCAAGUAGCGUGAAGGAUGACUGCCCUAUGGGUUGUAAACUUCUUUUAUAUGGGAGUAAAGUGCAGUAUGUAUACUGCUUUGCAUGUACCUUAUGAAUAAGGAUCGGCUAACUCCGUGCCAGCACCCGCGGUAAUACGGAGGUGCCGAGCGUUAUCCGGAUUUAUUGGGUUUAACGGGAGCGUAGGCGGGUUGUGAAGUCAGUUGUGAAAGUUUGGGGCUCAACCGUAAAAUUGCAGUUGAUACUGGCAUCCUUGAGUACAGUAGAGGUAGGCGGAAUUCGUGGUGUAGCGGUGAAAUGCUUAGAUAUCACGAAGAACUCCGAUUGCGAAGGCAGCCUGCUGGACUGUAACUGACGCUGAUGCUCGAAAGUGUGGGUAGCAAACAGGAUUAGAUACCCGGGUAGUC
Molecule: ribosomal RNA, 460 nt
Filed under: uncultured bacterium
Lineage: Bacteria
Description: partial 16S ribosomal RNA
Rfam family: Bacterial small subunit ribosomal RNA
Source: RNAcentral